RNAcentral lists this long non-coding RNA (1039 nucleotides) under Phasianus colchicus (ring-necked pheasant). RNAcentral's name for it is "lncRNA (ENSPCLG00000017054.1)". The record is from RNAcentral. Lineage: Eukaryota; Metazoa; Chordata; Aves; Galliformes; Phasianidae.
GCUCCUUCUGGCCCCAGUUCUGCCCCUUUUGCCCCAAUUCUGCUCCUUCUGGCCCCAAUUCUGCCCCUUUUGCCCCAAUUCUGCCCUUUUUGGCCCCAAUUCUGCUCCUUUUGCCCCAAUUCUGCUCCUUAUGGGUUCAGUUUCCCUCCUUAUGGGCUCAGUUGGGCUCUUCUGGCCCCAAUUCUGCUCCUUUUGGCCCCAAUUCUGCACUUUUUUGCCCCAAUUCUGCCCCUUUUUGGCCCCAAUUCUGCUCCUUUUUACCCCAAAUCCACUCCUUUUGACCCUAAUUUGUCUCCUUUUGCCCCAAAUCUGCUCCUUUUUGGCGAAAAUCUGCUCCUUUUUGCCCCAAAUGAGACAAUUUUGGCCCCAAUUCUGCCCCUUUUGCCCCAAAUCUGCUCCUUUUGGCCCCAUUUCUGCCCCUUCUGACCCCAAUUCCGUUCCUUUCAACCCCAAUUCUUUUCCUUUUUACCCAACUCUGCUCUUUUUUGCCCCAAUUCUGCUCUUUUAUUCUGAUUCUGCCCUUUUUUUGGUCCCAUCUUGGCUCUUUCUGACCCAACUCCACACUUAUUUAACCCCAAUUUUUCUUUUUUCUUACCCAAUUCUGUCCAUUCUCACCCCAUUAUUCCCACCCUUCCCCUUUCGUUUCCCAUUUCCCUCUUUUUCUCCCCAUUUUGACCCAAACCUCCCAAUUUUCACCCCAUUCUUUCCUCCCCCCAUCCCUCCCCGUUUCUCCCUUUCUCACCCCAUUCCCCCUCAUUUUUUCCCCACUCUCCCCCAAUUUUUCCCCAUUUUCACCCCAUUUCCCCCCCGUUCUCCCACCUCCUCUGCCCCCUUUUGCCCAAAAUCGUCUCUUUUUGCCCCAGAAUAUGAUCACAGGGACGGCCCCUCUGGAUGGCUGCAUUCUGGUGGUGGCAGCAACUGAUGGGCAAAUGCCACAGACCAGAGAGCAUCUCCUGCUGGCCAGGCAGGUGAGCUGUGGGGUGGAUGUGGGGUGAUAUGGGGUGGAUAUGGGGGGAUAUGGGGGGAUAUGGGGUGAUAU